AGAGUUUGAUCCUGGCUCAGAUUGAACGCUGGCGGCAUGCUUUACACAUGCAAGUCGAGCGGCAGCGCGGGGGCAACCCUGGCGGCGAGCGGCGAACGGGUGAGUAAUGCAUCGGAACGUACCCUGGAGUGGGGGAUAACGCCGCGAAAGCGGCGCUAAUACCGCAUAUGCUCUGAGGAGGAAAGUGGGGGACCGCAAGGCCUCACGCUCUGGGAGCGGCCGAUGUCCGAUUAGCUAGUUGGUGGGUAAAGGCUUACCAAGGCGACGAUCGGUAGCUGGUCUGAGAGGAUGAUCAGCCACACUGGGACUGAGACACGGCCCAGACUCCUACGGGAGGCAGCAGUGGGGAAUUUUGGACAAUGGGGCAACCCUGAUCCAGCCAUGCCGCGUGAGUGAAGAAGGCCUUCGGGUUGUAAAGCUCUUUUGGUCGGGAAGAAAGCGCCUUGCCUAAUACGCGAGGUGGUUGACGGUACCGGCAGAAUAAGCACCGGCUAACUACGUG
This 502-nucleotide ribosomal RNA is filed under the name uncultured bacterium. Its description in RNAcentral is "bacterial SSU rRNA". It matches the Rfam family "Bacterial small subunit ribosomal RNA", at positions 8 to 507 of the family's 1533-position model. The record is from RNAcentral.